Molecule: ribosomal RNA, 253 nt
Filed under: uncultured prokaryote
Description: partial 16S ribosomal RNA
Rfam family: Bacterial small subunit ribosomal RNA
Source: RNAcentral
UACGUAGGGACCAAGCGUUGUUCGGAUUUACUGGGCGUAAAGGGCGCGUAGGCGGCUUUGUAAGUCACUUGUGAAAUCUCCGGGCUUAACUCGGAAAGGUCAACUGAUACUGUGCGACUAGAGUGCGGAAGGGGCAACUGGAAUUCUCGGUGUAGCGGUGAAAUGCGUAGAUAUCGUGAGGAACACCAGAGGCGAAGGCGGCUACCUGGACAAUUGCUGACGCUCAGGCACGAAAGCGUGGGGAGCAAAAGGG